RNAcentral lists this non-coding RNA (223 nucleotides) under Sporolactobacillus laevolacticus. RNAcentral describes it as "T-box sequence". It matches the Rfam family "T-box leader". Rfam says of the family: Uncharged tRNA acts as the effector for transcription antitermination of genes in the T-box leader family. T-boxes are found upstream of many aminoacyl-tRNA synthetase genes and some amino acid biosynthetic genes usually in Gram-positive bacteria. Lineage: Bacteria; Bacillati; Bacillota; Bacilli; Caryophanales; Sporolactobacillaceae. The record is from RNAcentral.
GAGCGCUUAAUGACGGGAAUAAGUACUGCCUGUGCCCUUACAUAGAGAGCCGCGCUUGGUGGAAAGCGGUAAAGGGUUAUGCAGGAAUCCAUCCCUGAGAGUUGGAUCAACUGUAAGGUUGAUGACACGGGUCAUUUCCGUUAUCGAUGAUUAAGCGGCCGGCAGACUGUGUAUGAUAAGCCGGCAAUUUGGGUGGCAACGCGGGUUAUAUCUCGUCCCUUCA